Molecule: ribosomal RNA, 253 nt
Filed under: uncultured bacterium
Lineage: Bacteria
Description: partial 16S ribosomal RNA
Rfam family: Bacterial small subunit ribosomal RNA
Source: RNAcentral
UACGUAGGGGGCAAGCGUUGUCCGGAAUCAUUGGGCGUAAAGCGCGUGUAGGCGGCCCGGUAAGUCCGCUGUGAAAGUCGGGGGCUCAACCCUCGAAUGCCGGUGGAUACUGUCGGGCUAGAGUCCGGAAGAGGCGAGUGGAAUUCCUGGUGUAGCGGUGGAAUGCGCAGAUAUCAGGAGGAACACCGAUAGCGAAGGCAGCUCGCUGGGACGGUACUGACGCUAAGGCGCGAAAGCGUGGGGAGCGAACAGG